Non-coding RNA from Podarcis lilfordi (Lilford's wall lizard), 81 nucleotides. NCBI's taxonomy places the organism in Eukaryota, Metazoa, Chordata, Lepidosauria, Squamata, Lacertidae. The record is from the annotation of a GenBank genome assembly.
UUCCCUGAGUGAUAGCUUAGUUGGUAGAACAUGAGAUUCUUAAUCUCAGGGUCCUGGGUUUGAGCCCCAUGCUGGGUGAAA